Molecule: long non-coding RNA, 472 nt
Organism: Octodon degus (degu)
Lineage: Eukaryota; Metazoa; Chordata; Mammalia; Rodentia; Octodontidae
Exons: 3
Source: RefSeq, a predicted model, not a curated record
GGUUCCAGGCGCUUGGUCGCCGCGGUUUACAGUGAGUUUUGAAAGCUGGGCAUCCGAUGCCAUCCGUGACCUAUGGGGUGCUGCGGGUUGUGGGGAAUUGGUCGCAGGGACGAGAGGAAGACUGGGAUGUGGCUGUGGGGAGUGGAAACUGCAGGAUGGGGAUGUCGCUUUUAAAUCCUCGGGGAUGGUAGGGAAAGGAAGCGGGGAAGCAGUCGGAUUUGACCCGCGAGUUCAGCCUUGCAAGUUGGGCGAGAGUUGGUCUCGGGGCUUCAUUACCCGAGUUUGAGAGGCAGGGGCUGGCCUCGGGUCGUGCAGGGUGCAGUUAUGGCCAAGUCCAAGAACCACACCACGCACAACCAGUCCAGUGUCUCAGGAAGUCCUCAUCUGGGAAAAUAAUGGUUUCUUUUAAAGAGUGGUAUAGGUAGGGUCUUGCUAAGUUUCCUAGGCUGACCUUGAACUUGCAAUCUUUAUA